This 203-nucleotide long non-coding RNA is filed under the name Vigna radiata. Its description in RNAcentral is "long non-coding RNA (VRAD_LNC015653)". Lineage: Eukaryota; Viridiplantae; Streptophyta; Magnoliopsida; Fabales; Fabaceae. The record is from RNAcentral.
AAAGAUCUUAUUUUUUUUCUUCAGGAAGAAAUUGAUGCAGCAGAUUAUAUCAAUAUAUUUGUUAUUAUUGCUUCCCAUUAAUGCCAUAAUAUUGAUUCAAAUUAUUACCAUGUUAAACAAAAAUUUCAAAAACAUUCUAAAGUGAUGUGCCCUGCAUUGAGGAAGAUUAUUAUUUUCUUUAAUAUUGAUUAUUUACUUUCCCG